ACACACCUGUCUAUACAAGGUCCCACAGUUUAGUCGAAGGAAUUGUCUAUGGAGCUCUUGAGACAGGAUUGUGUCAAGGCACAGAUCUGGGGAGGUGAUAUUCCUCUUCUGGUGUACUAAUACUUUUCACUGUGCAUCUACACACCAGUCUGUGUCCUUUUAACUCUUCUUCCCAAUUUCUCCCCUCUCCCUCCCUUUCCUCCUCCCUCUCCUCUCUAGGUUUGCCAGUGAUGGGGCAGUCAUUUGCUUUGGGGUGUUCAUGCGGACCCAGGAGGGGGGCGGGCAUCAGAAGGUGGGGGAUAUGCUGCAGGUGUUGCCUAGUGAACGUUACAACGCACCCAUGGUCCCAGAAGACCGCUCCCUCACCUGCCCCGAGCCUGGAACCUACGUGUAGACGUGCUGCAUUUUGACAACACCUACAGCUUACUGCUGUUGAAAAACAUCAGCUAUACUGUGGAUGUUCUACUGCCAGACGGACAUGUCAAGAGUCCUAGGAGUAACAGAGCGGAUGGAUGGCUGGAGUAAACACACACACACAAAUAUGAGAUCUGGAUAGUGAAGAUAGCAAUGUACAGUAUACAGUGCUGUUUAAACACCAGUGUUCUCAGUUAUGGGCAUUGAUAUGACUAGUAACCCACAGUUAUAACUUUAAUAAUAAUUCGUAUAAGCAUUUCAUACAAGAGUCAGAAUUUAUUUGAGGUAGGACUAUAUGGCUGUGUCUUAUUGGAGCCUAUAUUGUGUGAAUGUAAUAUAAUGUAUUUUCACAGAAAAGUACUUUCCCGCGUCUGUAGUGACUUCUGUGUAUUUUAGGCUUCAUUAGACCAAUGUAAAUAUACAAAUUGUGCAAAUAGGGAUAUAAUAAAGGAAUGAUUAUAAAGUGGGAGAUGAA
Molecule: long non-coding RNA, 889 nt
Organism: Oncorhynchus kisutch (coho salmon)
Lineage: Eukaryota; Metazoa; Chordata; Actinopteri; Salmoniformes; Salmonidae
Exons: 3
Source: RefSeq, a predicted model, not a curated record